This 2688-nucleotide long non-coding RNA is filed under the name Lactuca sativa (garden lettuce). Its description in RNAcentral is "long non-coding RNA (LSAT_LNC005743)". The record is from RNAcentral. Lineage: Eukaryota; Viridiplantae; Streptophyta; Magnoliopsida; Asterales; Asteraceae.
AAGAAAAUAUCUCACAUCCUCUCGACCUCUCCCACUAACUCUACAACCUACUACCGCCAUCGCCUACUAACGUUGCUACUUACCGCCGCUGUCACCUCCCUCCACUCUCCACUUCUUUACUACCGCUUUAGACCGCCAGAAAACUCACCAACCGCCUCCAGCCUCUCAGAUCUGAAGUUUUCUAGUGACUUCAUCUUCUCCAGUUCAGAUGUACAAUCUCUAACGAUUAUCACCAUCGUCUAUGUCUGUCCUCUAUCGGUUCUCCAGUAAACUGAUGGCACCAACGACACCAAACAACCACCAGGUAUGUACCUAUUGUUGGUAGCUACUACCAUCACCAUCGAAUUGCAAGUAUCAUCGCCAAAACACCAGAUUUGACCUUCUACACCUUUAGAUCUGUGAUUUGUGCUUUUUCUCCGGAUCUCCGAUGUACAUAUUUGAUGAAGCACGAGAAAAACUAUCUGAUCCGCUUCUAUCUGACGAAGCAUAAAGCUCUUUGUCACCUCCAAAUGUUUGUCCUCCUCCAUAUCUACUUUUUUCUUCAGAGGACCACUAGAUAUUGCCUUUAUCUUCAUUCACACGAUAUCUGAUCAGAUCUGAUGUGGAUCUGAGCAUUUGGUGUUAUUUUACAAAUGUUUUUCUUUCUAUUUCAUCAUUUUGUCGUUGGAUCUACAUCAGAUAUGUUCUCCUACCGUAGGUGUCGUCGUCAAAGCAUCACAAAUCACAAUCGUAGUCAUAAUCGUAACCUACAAGGUGCUAAUCUUGAACUCGUUUUUUUUUCCAGAACUCUUGAACUUGUUUUUUCUCUUAUCUGUGCCAUCAUUGGCGAAAUAUUUGUCAAAUUUGUUCCAGAUCUGUUAUGCACCACCUCCUCAUCAUCUCUAACUCGUCUCCAUCUUUUUCUCUCUUAUCUUUGGUUGAAGCACCACCAAAUCGACAUCAGAUCUGAUGUUUUGGUGCAUUUUCAAGUAAAAUCUGGUGUUUGUUUUAUAUGGUGUAUCGGUGGUUGGUGGUGGUUCCACUACCGCAUCAGAUAUGGUCUCUAAUGAUGAUGUUUACAAAAGGAAGUUCUAAAAAAAGACACACACAAGGUGUUUGAUGAAACGCCUGAAUGAAAUUUGGUAAGUUAUUAAGUUGUGAAUGCAUACUUUGUGUGAAUGUCUCUGUAUAUUUGUUGUGUAUUAAACUGGGAGUUAAUGAAAUGCCGCAAUAAAUUCAUAAUUUUGUGUAUUAAAUUGUAAAUUUAUAUAAAGUUGUGAAUUGUGUGUAUUAAGUUGUGAUAUUUGUGUUUAAUCGUGUAUUAAAUGCAUUAAACUGUGAAUUUUUUGUUAAAAUUGUGAAUUAACUAUAUUAAAUUGUAAAUUUAUUAAAUUGUGAAUUGAUUGCAUUAAGCUAUGAAUUAACCAUAUUAAAAGUUUUAAGUUGAUAAUAUAGUUGUGAAUGUAUACUUUUUGUGUAUGAAAAUGUGAAUUUUAUGUAUUAAGAAAAGCUUGUAGAACUCGUUACUUGGUACAUGUUCGGCUGACUACCGAGCAGCGAGUACUCGGGAGUACUCGGAUUUGGAAAUUUGUGUAUAAAUAUUUUUAGGGAAAUUAUGUAUGUGAAAAUCAUAAGAUAAAAUCAUAAGUUGAUUGAAAUAUAUAACAAAAUUGGAUACAUAUGAAUACACAAAAAAUGAAAAACACGUAAUGGUCUCACUUCGUGAAUAAUGAUUGAAAAUUUAAGAUAUAUAUGUAGUAAAAAUCGCAUGUGUGUAUGUUAAACAAUAAAUCAUUAAGUACAUUAUACAUAUUAAUCACCGAUUUGACCGAAUUUCACAACACUACUCAGUUCAGUAAGGGGCGGAUCGAGGAGUACUCGGGAUUAUGUAACUCGCCUCGGCAAGGGGGGAGUAGCGAGUACUCGGAGGAGUAAUCGGUCAACUCGGCGAGUUUUACAACACUGUAUUAAGAUAUUAUUUUUGUGUUUUAAACUAUGAAUUGACUACAUUAAUAUGUAAAGUUUAUGUUUAAACUGUGAACUGCCUAUAUUAAGUUGUGAAUUUUUUGUAUUAAAAUAUAAAUUCACUGUAGUAAGUUGCAAAUUGACUGGUAUUAAGUUGUGAUUAAUUUAUAAUAUUUUUAUUUCCUUAUGCAAUAUAAGAUUUAAGAAAUAUUAUACACAAAUAUAAUUUUAUCUAAUUUUCAAUAAAGUAAGUAAAAUUUAAAUUGUGAAUAUUUAUGCUGAUAAACUUUGAAAGAUAUACUAGCAUAUAGAUAUGAAGAUAUAAAUGUAAGUUUUAAGCUGAGAAUAUAGUUAUGAAUGUAUAAUUUUGUGCGUUAAAAUGUGAAUUUAUUAUAUUAAGCUGUGAUUUUUUUGUAAUUAACUAAGAAUUAACUGUAAUAAGAUGUGAAUUUUUAAUGAAUUUUGUGUUAAAAUAUGAAUGAUUUAUGUAUGAACAUUUGUAUUAAUUUCCUUUGAAUAUAUGUAUUUUUUGUGUUGUAUAAAUAUGUAAGAAUGUAUUAGUUUUUAUAACUAUUUUGCAUUAAACUGUGAAUAAAUGAAUUAAUUAGUUUAUUAAGUUGCGAAUAUAAUAUUUAAGUUGUUAAUCAGUGANNAUAUAUAUAGAGAGAGAGAGAGAGAGAGAGAGAGAGAGAGAUCUUAUUUGGAAUGAAUGAUGGUUGCGAUGGUGACACAGGUGGUUGGUGG